AGUGAACGCUGGCGGUAGGCCUAACACAUGCAAGUCGAACGGCAGCACAGGAGAGCUUGCUCUCUGGGUGGCGAGUGGCGGACGGGUGAGGAAUACAUCGGAAUCUACUCUGUCGUGGGGGAUAACGUAGGGAAACUUACGCUAAUACCGCAUACGACCUACGGGUGAAAGCAGGGGACCUUCGGGCCUUGCGCGAUUGAAUGAGCCGAUGUCGGAUUAGCGAGUUGGCGGGGUAAAGGCCCACCAAGGCGACGAUCCGUAGCUGGUCUGAGAGGAUGAUCAGCCACACUGGAACGGAGCAACGGUACAGACUCCUACGGGAGGCAGCAGUGGGGAAUAUUGGACAAUGGGCGCAAGCCUGAUCCAGCCAUACCGCGUGGGUGAAGAAGGCCUUCGGGUUGUAAAGCCCUUUUGUUGGGAAAGAAAUCCAGCUGGCUAAUACCCGGUUGGGAUGACGGUACCCAAAGAAUAAGCACCGGCUAACUUCGUGCCAGCCGCCGCGGUAA
This 506-nucleotide ribosomal RNA is filed under the name uncultured bacterium. RNAcentral describes it as "partial 16S ribosomal RNA". It matches the Rfam family "Bacterial small subunit ribosomal RNA", at positions 29 to 523 of the family's 1533-position model. The record is from RNAcentral.